UAAAGAAAGAUUCAUUAAAUGCAUUCCUUUCAAAAAGAACCAAGUUUCCAUCUUAUGCUUCUAUUUAAUUCAGACAAGAUCCUUAAGCAUAUUCAAGUACAAGUACACAUUCAUAUUUGUGGGCUCCAAAGGGAGGACUGUAUUUUUUUUUUAUAAUGUACAGGCAUGGCAAUAUAUUUCAGUCAAGUUCUAUAUAGAAUAUUUGGAUAUUAGUAAAUUCAGUGUACAGUUUAGCCACUAUUUCUUGGUAUUCUGGUCUAUUCAAAGAGUGUGUUUGAUUAGGGAGGAGACAGAUGCCAAACUGUGUUAGAAAAUACAGGGAGACAAUUUACACAGGCCUCAAAGAGCUCACAUUAACGCACAAACAUUGGCGACUUAGAGCUUGUAACUAGGGAUUACUUGUUUGCUAUUGGAGUGUAGUGCUCAGGAAUAUAAAAUACUACAGGUGUCUAAUAAAGCUAAAUAGAUAUGGGUCAGUACAUAGUACAGUACUAUCUAUUAUUAAAAUAUGAAAAUGGGAAGAGCAGUAGGUAGAAAUGAGAUGAUAAUCUCAUUAAGGCCUGCUGAAUAAUGAAGCAUGGAUCUAUUUUUCUGCUUGAUUAUUUGAAAUUACACUUUAGUAGGAUAUAGCUAAUAAAAAAAAUAAGCCAUUGAAACCUGAAAAAACACAAGAGAAAAGAGACAGUUAGAAUUGACUUCAGCUGAUUUCACAUUGAGCUUUCUGUAUAACUGUCUUCUCUUAACUCUCAGACACUUUAAAUAGUUGAGGGACAAGCAACAUGCUACUUUUACUUCACAUUCUCCAGUUACAAGAAAGCAAACAAACUCCAGUGCCUUCUGUUUAAACCACAGCAGGGUGAAAAGAAAUAUUAUCAAAUUCUAGGACAAUGAAGGCUGGUACAAUCAUUUCAGUUUUCAGUUCCCAGCACAGUUCUUACAGUGGUUACAAACACAACUUAAAAUGACAAUGAUAAAAUUAAUUAAAGAUUUCCUAAGAAACGGAUUGAAAGGCAGGAAGUUUGGAGAAGGCAGUGUUACUUUGAUUGGUAGAUAGGGAGACUUGGCUCAGUGUAGGAAAAUACUGUAAUCAAGUUAGAGACGUAUUUGGGUGACUGGUGUAAGGUUUUCUACCUUGAAAACUGUCUGUAUUGUCUGCAAAAUUAAAUUUAGAUGAAAAUCCCAAAGGCCAAAGCUGAAAAGCACUUCCAUGGUUUAGAAUUAAUGGCCACAAACUAGUUUAUAAUUAAGCACAAAUACUUAAAUAACUGUAACCAUAAUCCUAUGAUUAUAUCAAUUAAAAAACAUUUUUUUGAAACUAUGUGUUUCUUUUGAUUCUGCUAGUAGAUUGUAAUUUUUCAAAAGGUACAGUGACAAUAAAUGCCAGGGCAAAAACACAGUUCCUUUACUGGUUUGUAAAGUAAGUGUUCACAGCUCUAAUGAAUACACUAGAUGGCUCACAUCGCAUUUAGUGGCAUAACAAUCCCAGCGAGGAGGGGAGGGGGGAGUCUAUGGUUCUGAGACCAAAACCACUAAGAUUUAAUUAAUUUUGUUCUUCUCUCCCACCUAAAACAAAACCAAACAAUAAAGACAAAACUUCUUCAUAAAUAAAAACAGGCUACUACAGUUACUAAAGCUUCAAAGGCUUACUGGAAACAAUCAGGCAAAACCCAAACAAAGCCAUGUUUACAUACAUAUAUUUGGGCCCAGCAUCUCUACUAGUGAUGUGAUAAGGUUUCAAUAAGAUUGUAUAACUACUUUUUUUUUUUAAGUAAAGGAUCAUCUGCUUGCAAUUAAUCAUUUCUUUCCCUUUUGAAAAAAAAGAAAAAAGACAACUUGGGUGCAGCCAGACUUUACAUCAUGGUGUUCAGUCAAGGCCAAACUAGGAAGGAUACUGGCCAUCCUGUUUCUUCCUUUUUAGAGGGCACUCACUGCAAGCAUUUGAGAGGAACGGCCUUUCACUGUCUCUGCUUGCAUUUAGGAUUGGACAAAGCCCAUAUACACUUGCAGUGUCUUAUUCUAGAGCUCAGGUUGGCUUAGUUCUUGGAAUCCUUUUACAUCACCCCACGGAGUACUGGAAUUACAGGUAGCUGAGUGCUAAUGAAGCGCGGGGUCACAGCUUCCUACUUUGGACUGCCACACCCUGUUACCUACCAUUGCCCUUCAUUGAGGCCAAGUGACUACGCAGCCUUCAUCUCCCACGUGUCCAGGGAAGCCAGCCAUGCAGCUUUGAGUUCCUGGAUCCCAAGCCAGCGGACUAGGGGACCUCAGGCUAAAGCAGGUUCAUCAUUCCCUUCCAUUGUUGUGCAAGAAACCGACUGCAAGAUCAUGACUUUUGGAGCAGGAGAGAUGGCUCAGCAGUGAAGAUCACUGGCUGUUCUUCCAGAGCAUCUGAGCUUGAUUCCUAGCAGCCACAUUGUGGUACAUAAAUGUCUGCAACUCUAGUCCCAGGUCAUCCAAUGACCUCUUCUGGCUUCUAUGUUUACUAUGUGCACAUGGUGAUACAUAGACAUAUACAGGCAAAAUGCUAUAUGCAUAGAAAUGAAGGCUAUGAUGUUCACAUUCUGGAGAAAGAAAAUAUGAGAAAAGAGGAGCCAUGGAGAAAAAUAUGAUCAGGAAUUCAGUAUUCACACUUGGACUUGGCAUCGGGUUAGGGAGCUACUCAGCCAUUGGUCCACCUCCUUCAACCAGUGCUACAAUAGAAAUAAGAAUUUCACAACACACACACACAGGCACAGACACACACACACACAUACACACACACACACACACACACACACACACACACACACACACACACACACGGGAUGGAAGGAGAAAGGGAGAGAGAGAGCUCCUGGAGACAAACUGGCCUCAAACUCUACAAUGUAGCUCAGCUUGGCCUUAAACUCACAAACCUCUGGCUCAGCCUCUCAGAUCCUGAAAUUAUAGGCAUUCACCACCAGGCCCAAAGAAGUAAAUACUGGUUUAAAACAUAACUCCAAGCAAACAGCCACACCCUGCACCAAGUCUUUCCUAGAAGUUCUGGAUCUGAAGAAGUUCUGGUCUGUACCUUGGGCUCUGAGAAAAUGCAGCCCCGCUUAAGACAAAGGCUGAGAUGAGCCUCUAAACAUCUUCAAAUGCAGUCUUCAGAGACUCUCACCAGCCUAGCAGCCAUAAUGAGAAAUUGGAAUGAUUGUUCAGGAGUCCAAACCCGCUGAAUGCGCUGGGAAUGUGCUUCUGUAAUCAUUAGUGGGGUUAGGCAGGCAGGGGGAAGAAAUCAAAUAAACACCUCUAGCUUCCAUCCUGCACCCCUGGAAAAGCAACCUUGUCAGGAGCCUCGCCAAGGAAGGACAAAAAACUCAGAACUCCUCCGUACCUCGGAUCAGAACCGGUCUGUUUUCCCCACUAGUGUGACUCAGUGCAUAGGCCCAAGAAAUUCCACUAAAAGCCUAAAAUGCUGUACUUUGAUGGGGGAUUGAGCACUAAACGUUCUCACAGAUCUGCAGGAGCUGGGCAGAUUGUAGGAUCAUAAUAAUUCUUACAGGAAACAUAUUCCAGGCUAGACUCACAUUUUGAUCAAGCUCCUUGGAUAGUCUGAAGCUAGACUUCAAUAAAUACUUAGCAGACAUCUACUCAGUUUCUGACUCCUCCUAUAACAAUCUUUUUGUUCUAGGAGAGGUUUUAUUUCCCUGAGAGGCUUCAAUUACAUGAACAUGAAUAGAACAGUAAUAAUAAUAGGUGGGCACUUCAUGGACGUUUUAGCUUUUUAUCAAAGUGGUGAAAUACCUGGGAAAGAUGACUUAAAGAAAGGUUUACUUCAGCAUGGCUUCAUAAUUUUCAGCCCACCGUCUCUUGGCUUCAUAACUGUAGGCUAGUGUUGAGGUGUGACAUCGUGGUUACUCACUCCAUGGUAGCCAGGGAGCUGGGUGGAGGCAGGAGAGGGGAGACUUACUGACUGAGACUUGGAGGAGAAGGGAGAGGGAAAGAGAAGAACAGAGGAGGAGAGAGGAUGAGCUGGGAAAAGUUACGCUUCCAAGUCAGGUCCCCAAUGCCACCAGCAACCUCCCAAUAAUGUUGGUAGUUUCUAUCACUUCCCAAUAAUAUUUUCGGGUUAUGAUCCAUUGAUGGAAUAAUCCACUGAUGAUGGUCCAGUAUCUCUGAGCACUGCACUGGGGACUGUUACGGUUGAAUGUAAAAUGUCUCCCACAGGUUCAUGUAUUUGAACAGCUGGGUUCCAGCUGUUGGUGAUGUUUGGAAAAGUUGAGCCUUUAGGAAACGGGUCACUGGGACUGGCCUUGAGGCUUUAUGGUAUAGACUCACUUCCUUGUAUGCUCUGCUUCAUGAGUACCUAUGCAAUGUGACUGGUCAGAUUCCUUUUCCAGCCCCAUCUCCACUGACUGCUGUCAUGGCUUCCCUACCAUGACAGCAGCUGGUGAUAGCUUACCAUGAUAGGCUAUAUUUCUCUGGAACUGUAACAGUAGUAGAAAGUAAUUAAGAUCGGGUCUAAGCCUUCAACACACUAGUCUUCAGGAGACAGUUCAUAUUCAAACUAUGGCAAUGCAAUAUCUUGUUUAAAUUGAAAACAGUGGGCAGCCAUUUUAAAUCUAUGUAAAAGAUGAGUAAUGUGAAAGAUAACAAUAUCAGGUCAUUUGCAGGGACAUAGGCAAGAGCCAGUAGACCCAGAGUCAAGCACAGGACUGGGUGGCUCCAAGUUGGUGCCCCUUGUCACAUGCUAAUGACAACAUGGUUAGUGGGGCUUUCCUAAACCUGAAGACACACAGCUCUUGUGCCACCUCUUCUGGAAAUCCCCUUGACCAAUGAGGGUGGUUCCCAGGUAGGCUGAUGAGCCCAUGGGAAUGUCACCCUACCCCCAUCCCAACACCAAAAGAUUCUCAAAUUCAUGGGUAUGAGGUGAGACCAAGGUCUAAAUUUGUGUGUGUAUAUGUGUUUACGUGAGUACACAAGUGCAUGGAAACCAGAGGUCCACAUCUUCCUCAGUCCCUCUCCACCUUACAUUUUUAAACAGGGGCUCUCACUGUGGUAGCUUGAAUGUAAUUAGCCCCCAUAAUCUCAUAAGGAGUGGCACUAUUAGGAGAUGACUUUGUUGGAGUGUGUAUGAUGGAAGGAAGUUGAAGGGAGUGUGUCACCUUGGGGGCAAGCUUUGAGGUUUCUUAUGCUCAGAAUGCCCAGUGGGUCAGUCGACUUUCUGUUGCCUGCAAAAUGUAGCACUCAGCUCCAGCACCAGCUAAGCUCCCUGUCAGGAUGAUAAUGGACUGAAACGCUGAAACUGUAAGCAAUGCAUCCCAAUUAAAUGCUUUCUUUAUAAGAGUUGUCAUAGUCAUGGUAUCUCUUCACAGCAAUAGAAAACCUUAACUAAGACACUCACUGAAUCUGAGGCUCACCUAUUCAUCUAGACUGGAAAGCAGCAAGCCUCAGGAUGCUUCCAGCCUCUGCCUUACAAGAACUGGGAUUCCAUGUGGCCACCACUGACCUGGGGACCAAACUCAAGUCACCAUAUUCACACAGCAAGUACUUCUCUCACUGACUCAUCUCUCCAGUCCCACAAAUCUGAAUUUUUAAACUAGGGUUCUGUUUGAUUCUGACACAGCCCAACCCACACUCAUCUUUUGCAACAACUGGACUGAAUGCCUUAAAAUUUUCUUCCAGAGUUAAGAUUUUUUUUUUUUGGCAGAAGUGAGUCACGUUCCUUACUUCUGGUGCCCUGGGAAACAGAGCCCCAGGCAUCUGUUCUGUGAUCUAAUGAUCUUCCUGGGUCUUUGAUGUCCUAAAGCUGGAGGAUCCAGGAAGGUGACUUUUCAAUGGAUCUAUCUAGUCAAUGCUCCUUCCCCUCAGUGAGUUCCCUGGAGGCCCCUAUUUCAGUCUCUGAGACUUCAUAUUCCAGAAACCCACCAAGCCCUUCCUUUCGGAAUGGGCUGUUUUCAUGAAUGGCAUCCUUUGCCUAAAUCCAAACUCCUUGAGCAUCUUUUCACAUGCUAAGUGGCCUCCAUAGUCAAAGAUGCUGUCCAAGCUCUGUUUUUUCUACUCCACUCCAACCUAACACUUCAUCUUUCUCUGGCCUGCCAUAUGGAAGCUUAAGAGCUACAGUUCAGAGGAGGUGGACCAUCUCCAGAUACAGCUACGGCUAUGUGACAUUUUCCCUAGAGCCUUUCGGUCCGUUUUCUCUGGUUCACUCCUUGCCCUCAAAAUGCCCUCUAACUCCUCAGAGUUUUCUUGAGGCUCUUUGUCUGGGUUCUCCUUCUGUACUGAACCAUGUUCUUUAUUCCAGGUUUUUUUCUGCUCUCCCCAUCCUUAGUUUUCACGUGUAUUUGUCUUGUUUUCUGUACUGUUAGUUUUCUUGUUGUUGUAACCAAGUACCUAACAGAAGCAACUUAAAGGAAGAGAGGCACUUAGGGUGCAUGGUUUCAGGGGACAGUCCAUUAUGGCAGGAAAGGCAUAGCAGAGCUCAUGGUGACUGGAGAGGGCAGCAGGGGUGCCUCACAUUUCAGCAGACAAGGAAAGAGAGGAGGAGAAUAUGAGUACUGGACUCAUUCCUCCUUUUUCUCUUUUUAGUCACCCCAGACGUCAGCCCAUAGAUGUUGCUGUCCACAUUCAAGGUGACCUUGCUUCUUAAGUCCAACAUCUAUGGAAAUACCCCUCAAGAACAUACAGAAGUGUGUCUUCUGGGUGAUUUGACAUUUGGUCAAGUUGACAGUGAAGAAACUAUCACAUCUUCCAUCCCCUGAAAGUCUAUUGAGUUGUCCUCAGUGGCGAUGCUAUCAGUGUGUAACAAUCCCCCCCCAGGCAUAUUCAUCCCGCUAUGGAGUUUUCAGAGCUACUGUUGCUCCAACAGUGACACUUGCAGAUGAAAGCUCUUUUACACCAAGGGUAGGUUGGAGGUAGGAAAUGUCAUGAAAGAGGAACACUUCAUGGCAGAAGGAACUGACCAAAUGGACACAUAAAAAAUAGAAGCUGCAAUCUCCACCUCUUACCUUGAUGCCAAAGCUCCCCACUUCACAGAAUCCAAGUUCAUUCGUAAUGUAUUUAUCAUAAUGACUUUAAAGACAGUUGCACUCAUUGAGAAAGUGCUUUGCAACUAAAAAAGACUUGCUCAGGUUCAAGAUACUGUCCCUGCCUCAUCAGUGUCUCACAGAACCCUGACAGCCCUAUUAAAAUUGCCAACUUCUUACAUGGCAACCAUUUAGAAAGAAAAGAGGCUUGCUGUUCUAUCCUCUCUGCCUCACUUUCUAGAAAUGAAGCUUUUACUAGGAUAUUUGCGUAAUAAAUAUCAACGCUGAUAUUUUUCACCUUGCUUUAAACUCUAACUACAACGUCUUAGACCUGAAGAGUAGCAACUCUUGUGGCUGUCUUUGUCAAUGCUAGAUAUCCAAGUGUUUUUCUGCAUCCCAUCGGUUCUUCACAGUCUAGGGUAAACGUUUCCUAUAUCUGCUAUUCAAACUAUGGCUCUCUUCAGCUCCAGAUUUCUGUGGACUUCUAAGAGUCUCUGGAUAAGCAGAAAUACCUAAAAGAAUAUUAGCAGCAUCCCUCCUUGAGGCUGGUGCAGGACCUCAGAGCUUCUUUCCUGAACCAGGUAACCUGAGGUCUUGGAUGCAGAUGCUUGUUUUGCUUCCCUGGGCUGUCUUGCUGCGUCUAUUCUGAGGUGGAUGUGUCCUUCAUGGCUGCCUCGGUGAUGCUGGACAGUCUCUUCCCAGGAGAAAGGGUUCCUAGAAAUCAGUUGUGUUGUCCUAAAUCAGGAUAAGAGUGAAAAGAAAAAUGAGUACUUCUUUCUAUAGCUACUUUGGAAAUGUUUUUGGCUUUUCUUCUCCUCAGACAAGCUCCAAUAAAAGUCAAAUUCUACAUUCGAAAAGCUCCUUCCUGUUCCAACUUGUUUGCUGUAGCAAGCCUGUGAGGAAGGCAUUUAGAGGAAACUAGAAUACUGGGAAGUGAAGAGAUUUUUUUUUUUCCAGGUCUCACAAUGUGUUGAGCAUUGAAACCAAGGAAGACAAUGGACCGGCAUGCAUGGUAAAUGGGAGCUCUGCUCAUAGUGAGAAAACGUGAUUUGGUUGAUGAUUCUCUAUCAAUAGAGUUCCUCAGAUGAAGUGUCAAUAGUGUGUAAAGGAUGUAAUUUAUUUUUUACCAACUGGGAGGAAUUUGUAAUAAUACAAAAACUAUAGAAAUACUAUUCCAAGUGGUAAUUUGCUCUCUGUGUGUACAUAUAUGAAUAAAUAACUAACUGUUAAAUGUAUCAAUCUCUCUGUGAGAAUGUCUGUUUGCAUAAUAUAUGCUCAUGUAAGUAUCGACUCUUAUUGGGUGUUCAUCUAGAAUAUUGCUUUCAGUUUGAACUGUGUAACCUGGUGUCUUGUUUCUUUACUGUUUAUUUAAAUGAAUCUUGCUUUCCCACAGUCCCAGUGUCUUAGUUAGGGUUCCCAUUGCUGUGGUAAAAUGCCACAACCCAAAGCAAUUUUUGGAGGAAAGCAUUUAUUUCAAUGUACAGUUCCACAUCACAGUCUACCAUUGAAAAAAGUGAGCACAGGAACCUGAAGACAGGAACUGAAGCAGAGGUCAUGGAGGAGUGCUGCUUACUGCCUUGCUCCUCAUGGCUUGUUUGGUCUGCUUUAUUAUUGCACCCAGAACCAUCAGUCCGGAGGUGGCAUUUCCCCACAGUGAGCUAGACCUUCAAAAAUCAACCAAGAAAAUGUGCCACAGGCUUGCCCGCAGGUCAAAAUGGUGGGGGCAUUUUCUCAAUUGAAGUUCCCUCUCCCAAAAUGACUCCAGCUGGUGUCAAGUCAACAUAAAACUAGCCAGCACAUUCAGAUUAAGAAUUUUCCAUGUUUUUCCAACCAGUUGUUUCAAUAUUAAAAGGUUGUCAAACUCUUUAGCUGGAUGUAGUUGUACCCACCUUGGAGGCAGGAGGAGAAGGGUCAGGGGGUUGAGGCCGCCUUCCAGCUAUACAGCAAGCUUGAGGACAGCCUGAGAUGUAUAAGAGUCUGUCUCAAAAAACAAGACAAGAUCACACCCCCAACACCUGCAAACCCACUUCUAUGUACAUGUGUAUGUAUGUGUGUAUACAUAUUUAACACAUAUAUGUUAAAAUUUUUGGCAUUUCGAUUUUGAUCUUCAUGCAUAUUCUGAUUCUCUUUCCUACCAUCCCUCUAGAACCUAGAGUCUAGAAGAAUUUUACCAUGGGGAACACACAUAGGGUCAUAUGGUAUUUUGUGUGCUUGUCCACAAUUAUUUUCAAUUACAGUUUUCUAGGGUUUUUUUUUGAGGGGGGGGUUGAAUGACCAUUCAGAUCUGUUCAGUGGGAGGAAUCUGCUAGACAUCCAAGAUGACAGAUAUUCAUAUAUCUGCCGUUUUCAAACAGAAGCCUUUAAAUUACAUUUUCAAAUAAUGUGGUCAUCAACAUCCUUAUUGACUGUGCCUGUACUAGAAGAAAACACUCAAGCUUUUCAAGGUUCUUCUUGCUCAUAGCAUCCUGAGUCAGAGUCCUGUGGAUAAUGGCUGGAUAGCAGGAUGGAUGUACAUGCAUUCUGUAAUUCUUAGAGACUGUGCCAGAUGUUACUGGUACUCACAGCCUCAUCACGCUGACAUCUGCCAGACUCCAGUGUGUGGGUACCUGUAUGUGUUAUCUAAGGGUUGACCCAAAGCCCAUCUUGUCCACAGGUACCAGUGGAUUUUCGCUUCACGGGGAAACCUUUGACCAAUAACUGACGGGAGUUGGAGUAUAAAUGCCACCAUUUUCCCAUUCUCUGCUGGGAUAAUCUUGAGAUUCAUAUCCUCCAUCCUUAGAAUUUCCCACUAGCACCGGGAUUGUAUUACCCCCAUGGUUACUUACUUCAUAGCUUCUGCCACUCCUCGCCUUCACACAUAGAAGGUGGCUUUCUGGAGUCAUAACACAGAUUAAUUACUUAUGCUGGAACUUUUAUCUGCUACUGGAUGGUGAAGCAAGAUAGAUUUGAUACUGCAAUCAGUUUUCUCAUUCUGCUGUUUUAUUUCCUGGUCUUAUAAGCAUACAAAGCUCCCAAUAGGUUUUGUUGUUGUUGUUUUAGUAUUAACUACAACUCAAACUAUAGUACCACAAUACCUUGUCUUUGUGAUUGAUUUUAUUUAACUUAAACUCAGACAUUAUGCUUAUUCCUGUUAUACUCUUGGCUCAUUUCCAUAUACCAACCUAACCGAAUAACUUUGAAUAUUGAUUUGUUCUUUUGCUGUGUUAUCUAUCUCUCACAGACAUGAGUCAUCCUGAGAAAUCUGAUAAACAUGUCUUCUGUUUUUUCAUUCACUUCUUCAGAAAAAUGUUGAACACCACCAGUUGGAGACAGAGUUGUAAACCCAACUUCCUCUUCCUUAGCAGUCUAGAUUCCUGCAGUAGGAAAGAAUGCUCAUCGAUGCUUACCCAAACUUAAUACACAGAUUCAACUCAUUAUAACGUCAGGCAAAAUCAACUCGGUUAACUCAGCUGCUUUGCUGGGAUGUAGAUAAUCUGUCAUUAAUACAGGCAUCCAAUCUGCAGCCCUAUCAGGAAGAAAAUAUGCUAAGUUGCUUUAUUAUUAACAAUAUUGUCUUGCCUACUAAGAACAACUGGAUUCUUUUCUCUUGUGUGUGUGUGUGUGUGUGUGUGUGUGUGUGUGUGUGUGUGUGUGUGUGUGUGUUUUAUUUUGUAUUGUUUCCAAAACAGGGUUUCUCUGUAUAGCCCUUGAUGCCCGGGAACUGGCUCUGUAGACCAGGCUGGCUUCCAACUUUUCCUCCCAAGUUCUGGAAUUAAAGGCAUGUACCACCAUGCCUGAACUACUGGGUUCAUCUCUAAAAGCUUCUAGUCCUUAUUGGUUAAAAUAUUAAGGCAACUCCACAUAGUUAAAAGGGAGGUUUAUUUUAUAGGGUAACUUACAAGUGAAGGGAUAGGUUACAGGGUCUGGGAAAGGUGUAGCACAGUCUGGCAGUGUUCUCUGGAGAACUCUGCUCGGUCUACCUCCAGCGUCCAGGGUUCAGGAACCAAGAGAGCCGGCCCAUCCGGAUCUCCGAUCUUCAGAGGUCCUCUCUCGGCUCUGCUUUGUAGGCGUGACAGUUACCGAAGCCUCAAUGGGGGUGGCAUUUCCAGAUCAAAGCUGGAACGGCUAACCACUACAAGUCCUCCUUGUUCUACAAAUUUCCCAGGGAUUUAUGCAUGUUGGUGGCAGGAUUGGUCUGCUGAUAAUUGAAGGGUGGCACUAUAUGUCUUUAUUUGUGACUUUUGCCAACAUUUUUUCUUACUCACAUCUCUUCUUUCUUAACACAGGAACCUGUACUUGCUAAAGUCCUAUUUAAGAGCCUGGGUGUCAUUUUCUUGAAGACACCAGCCACUUUCACACCUGUGUCCCUUCUGAGGGAAGGCUGAUUCUUUCCUGGAGGACCCAGUUUGGCCCCGUGGCCCCAUCUCUGGCAGUCACUCUUUAGUCUUCUCAAAGAUAGGCUUCUCUCUCUUCGUUUAUCUUCCCACACCAAAUACAGCUUCAAGCUUUAGAUAGCUCAUUGAACAGCUUGAGAACCCAGGCUUCUGCUGCCCCAGCCCCCUUGAACCUUACGUGGGCAGCAUUCGGCCACAGGUCUGACAUUCAGACUUCGGUGUGAGCUCUCUCGGGAGCUCCUGAAGGAAUUUUCUCUCUCAUUCUUUUCUGUUUCACUGUCCUCAUUCACGUCCCAUAAUCCCACUCAUUCCAUAAUCCCAUUCAUCCCAUUCAUUUCUCCCUGACCUUGUCCAUAUGAGAAAUAUUCUCCUUUACAAUGUGACAGUCCAGGAUCAAACUCAUUUUUGUCUGGACUUGAGGUUAGGUGCCUGGUGUUUUGUCUUCAUCUUUCCCUUCCACAGGAGUUUUCCUUUUGGAUGCUGCCCAGUUCUUCUAGAACUGCACGAAAAAUGCUUCAAUCCAGUGAAAUGACCCUGAGAGUCAGGAUAGGCCCUUGUUCAGGGUCAUGUCCUCACAGAUGGGUCGACUCAAAGCAAUCCCUGGAUAUUGGAGGGACAAAGUGACUAGAUUCAUCCUUUCCUUCAUCCAGGAUUAGGGUCCUUGUCAUAAAUAUUUUCUAGAAUGUGUAUAGUGAGAGGAAGGGCUGGAGAUACCCCCGGGGGAGUUGGAGAGCAAGAAGCUGGUCUCCUAGUACAGAUUCUGAACAGCUCAGCCUUCCUCCUCAGGAAGCUAUGGGAAUCCAUGCAUCAGGGACAGCGACAGUCAGAAUGUUUUCUGCUGAGUAACUUAGGAGUAAAGAAAACCAGCCUGGGCCGUGCAAAAACCAUCCGCAGCCCAGGGAGCUCUAACAUGCUCUGCUGAGUGAAGCUCUAAUGCGCGCCUGCUCCUGCCAGAGUCAGCAGGGGGAGGGGAAGCAGAUCAGGGAGCCCAGAGGAAGAGCCAGCCAAGAUUCCUGUCUGUACUCCAAAUCCCUUCGCAAAGCCAUUGCCAAAAUCGAUUUUAAUAACUGAAAGAUUUACCUGAGUCAAACAUGGUUUUUAACUGGCAGCAACUAAUUAAUUACCCACCACUCACCUGAACAUCACAUUGGGAUGGUAUUUUGAUGCUCUCACAUAUUGAAGAGGACAAGUCACAUUUUCUUCUCCAAGUCGUCAAUUAAUUGAGCCAAAUCCUUCAUUAGACCCUUGCCUGGUCUUAUAGACACUUCAGGGUGUCCUCUGCCAGGAUGCCACAUCCCUGAGUUAGGGCUCCAAAACUUGUUAAGCAGUUUGAGAAAGUCAGUCCAUGUUAACUCAGUAUUUAAAAGAAAAUCACAAUAGUUAACAUUAAGAAAUCACAGAAACAUCUUCAUAAUUAAUAAAUGAAAAAAAAUGUUCCUGCAGCUAAUCAAUAAAGUUGUGAGUGAGAAUUGAUCGGAUGGGGAACUCUUCUUGUGGGUACAAUUUUUCACCUCUUCAGAACAAAAGACUCCCCAGAGGGCUGUCAACAUACCAGACACUAGGAAGUCUGACCCAAAACGGGGGAAAAAAAAAGAAAGAAAAGUAGGAUGAUUAAUUAAAAUCUCCAUGAGUGACAGCUUUCAUUCUGCAGGCAGAAGCAAAUAAGAAACUUAGGGAAAAACCAGAGCAGCCCAGGUGACUGGACUUUACCCCUCUUCAGAGGCACUCUUCUGACAGAAUGGAAUUCCAUCCUCUUUGGAAGCUAGAAGCAGGUCUAGCCCAUGGUGACCUCGGUGGCUCUGGUUUAUUAAGUGCACAGAAACUACAUUUCCCCAGGUGUGACAUGUCAAAUGUGUGGAGAUCUACUGGAACAGAAGAGCAGCUGGCAAAUUAUUUUGAUGUCUAAAGGAUUCAGCAUGUUCAGGAACAAAGAACUCAUGUUUCACUAGGUAACUGAUCUCAGCAAUGUUUGCGUAGAUUUUUCAAUUUAUGCACAUCUCCUGAUCCAGAAGCAGUGAGACUGGGACCCAUGAAUCCAAGUUUACAAAGAUGUGCCCUGAGAUUUGUCUCUAGUUCCCAUCAGUGUGUGGUCAUCACAGAAUUGGUCUACUCCCCUCUCUCCAGGUAUACAUCCUGGCAACGAGAUGCAUCUUUGGCCCUCUCCUUUAUCUUUAUUGGACAAGUCUUAAGUCAUGCUAUUCAUUGAGCCCAUGCUAUGUGCCCAGAGUUGUAGAAGGUUCGUGAGAAGUAUCUUAGUCACUUAAACCCCACCCCACGACAAUCUAAUAUAACAGAGUUAUCAUCGCUUCACAGAUGAGAAAGUGGAGACUUAAAAAGAUUGAGUUGUUUGCUGAAGUUCUGACACCAGAUUUGAACCCAGGCUCAUCUUCUUCCUAGGAAGACUCUCUUACCAUUGUGUCAUGCUACUGCAGAGAACAAGUCAGUUGGGAGGACACAGGGCGGUGUUCCUGGCUGGCAGCUCUGAACAUACAUGGACGUUCUUAGGCCUCUCACUUCCAGAUUCAUAGAACUUUAGUUCAUAUGACUAAGGUUAGAACAGUGUUUUGUUCCUCUUUGUAGAACAUUGGC
This is a long non-coding RNA of Peromyscus californicus insignis, 13948 nucleotides long. RefSeq lists it as uncharacterized. The record is from RefSeq and is a predicted model, not a curated record. NCBI's taxonomy places the organism in Eukaryota, Metazoa, Chordata, Mammalia, Rodentia, Cricetidae. The transcript has 4 exons.